GUCGAGCGGAACGAGUUAUCUGAACCUUCGGGGAACGAUAACGGCGUCGAGCGGCGGACGGGUGAGUAAUGCCUAGGAAAUUGCCCUGAUGUGGGGGAUAACCAUUGGAAACGAUGGCUAAUACCGCAUAAUACCUUCGGGUCAAAGAGGGGGACCUUCGGGCCUCUCGCGUCAGGAUAUGCCUAGGUGGGAUUAGCUAGUUGGUGAGGUAAUGGCUCACCAAGGCGACGAUCCCUAGCUGGUCUGAGAGGAUGAUCAGCCACACUGGAACUGAGACACGGUCCAGACUCCUACGGGAGGCAGCAGUGGGGAAUAUUGCACAAUGGGCGCAAGCGAGGAUGCAGCCAUGCCGCGUGUGUGAAGAAUGCCUUCGGGUUGUAAAGCACUUUCAGUCGUGAGGAAGGUAGUG
RNAcentral lists this ribosomal RNA (409 nucleotides) under Vibrio harveyi. RNAcentral's name for it is "bacterial SSU rRNA". It matches the Rfam family "Bacterial small subunit ribosomal RNA", at positions 61 to 456 of the family's 1533-position model. Lineage: Bacteria; Pseudomonadati; Pseudomonadota; Gammaproteobacteria; Vibrionales; Vibrionaceae. The record is from RNAcentral.